This is a non-coding RNA of Ictidomys tridecemlineatus (thirteen-lined ground squirrel), 3507 nucleotides long. NCBI's taxonomy places the organism in Eukaryota, Metazoa, Chordata, Mammalia, Rodentia, Sciuridae. The record is from RefSeq and is a predicted model, not a curated record.
GCUCCCACUUAGCCAGGGCCUCUCAGCAGGUAGCAGCUGUGGCCGGCUGAGCCCUCUCCAGACCAGCCAACCCCAGGUCCUGUCCUCAGUGGGGUCCUCUGCGUCCAAAUCCAAGACAGGUGCUGGGAAGGGUGUGCACAGCAUCACGGGAUGUGGAGGAAGCUUAUGUGAGGCAUGGGGGACAGAGUUGCCACAUCGUCUACUCACACCUGAUUUUUCUGGAGUCUGGGCACACAUUGUCCCUCUUAUGCAGUUUAAUGAUGGCUGAGACUUGCUGAGAGCUUCACCAUGGGCUUACCACAGCCCUCUGACAUGGGUGGCUUAGAAUUUCCAUCUUCCAGAUGAGACAGAAAUGGAAGACCAGAGAGAAUCAUGCCUUGUUCCAAAGGUCAGCUGCUGAGCCAGAAUGCAAAACCAGGAGGUCUGGUUCUCUGCGGACCUUUCCAUCAGGAGCAGGGCUUCUCCCUGGAAGCCAGAACGUAAAGGAGGCCAAAGCCUGAUGUUCAGCUGAACCCAGCCAUACCUGACCUGAAGGCCAACAGAGGACACUGACCCUGGGCCUGAGUGGACUCUGUGAAGUCCUAUGUGUGAAGGAACAAAAGUCCUGACCAAAGGCAGGCAUGCAGGAAUGCUGGUGCUCUCGGACAUGCUGUUUACAGGACACUUGGACCGGCCUGCAAAAGACAGGAUGAGAGUUCAGGGCCAGGGGCUCAGUUUAGUGCUCCACGGCAGGGCAGGUCCAGGCAGCAUUGUGAAAUAAGCAACAUCUGUCCCAGGAGCUUCUUCAGGCCCUGACUCCAGAGGCCUCUCUCCCAGGAGACAAAGUAGGAUUCUAGGGAAUGGACAGGAGGACAGGGGAAUUUUGAGAGCCAUUUAUAAAGUAGACCUGGACACAGGAUGUCAAAGAGUCUGGAUUUUUAAAGUAAAGCUGGAAGAGUUCACUACAGGUAGAAGAGUUCACUGCCAGAAGCGGACUCAAUUCCAGAUAUGAAUUUGGAGACCAUCUGCACAUGCAAAACAGAAAUGCAGCGCCCAGAAGAGGAGCUCCCUCUGCAAAACCUGAGACAAGAGGAAGUCAUGCUCCCAGCUCUUCCUGAAUGAAGACACCACUAAAGUUGGAGUGAUUUGGUCAUUUGCUCCUAUCCUUACAGACUUCCAGGUUGGAUAGUGAAUUAGGCAAGUGAUUAAGCUCUCAGUGCCUCAGUUUUUGCAUCUAGAAAUUGGGAAUCACAAUGCCUCCUUCAUAGAGUUAUUGUGAGAUCAAAAUUAGGAACUAAAGUCAGUCACCUUGUGCAGAACCCAGCACGUUAUUAGCCUCUUUCUUUCUUUUUUUUUUUUUUUUUACCUGUGAUUUGCUCUUUAUCUUCUCCCUCUGAGUCUCUUUGAGUCCUCCUAAGCUCAGCCCCUCAAGUCCCACCAUAUCAAGGAUCCCUUCAAGUGUGCUGACUGCUAGAUCUUAGACAAUACACCCUAGAGGAUACAGCAGACAGGUCCUGGCAGUGUUUUGCUCUGUAUGUCAGUUACCUGUGCCCUCCUUCUAGUCACUUGUGCAUUCUUGAGGACCAGGCUGGUCUGGUAUUAAUUCUGGUCUAUAGACUAAGGGAAUAAUCUUAAUUAUUAAAAUAAAAUGGGCAUAAGAAAUCAAGAUGGGGCUUGAAUCUCUGGCUACUUAGGGUCUGCAUGAUGUCGGGCAAGUUACUUAUCUGGGCUCCAUUUCCCCAGGCUCUGUUUUCUCUCUAGUAAUAGGAAGACAAGUACCUCCCCUGUCAUUAUGAAGACUACUGGCUUUACUAUUAAAGUGCUGGCUCUGUUGGACACUGAUUGAUGGUAAUGAGUACUAUCAUUGUUGCAGAACUCCCAGCACAGACAACAUUUUUCAUGCACAUUCAGGGGACAAAGGAAGCAUCUCUGUGUGCCUUCAUUAUGUCCCUCCUUUGCUAUUGUUCCCUUUAGCAAAACACACCCUUAAGAGACCAUCUAGCACAGCACUUCAUUUUACAGGUUAUAAAAACUGAGCCUACCCAGUGAACAUAACGGGUAGACUGCUCAGCAGGGCAGAAGACACUGGGACCUAGGACUUGAGGCUCAAUGACCUGAGCUGUCCCAACCACCUUAUGACACACUUUCCUGGAAAGUGCAAUUCAUAUUUUCUUCCAAGUUUAUUUCAGAAUUUUACUUCUCAUUGCUUUCUUUCAUUGAGAGAAGUCAAGACUCCAGAUCAUCAGAUGGACACACAGAGGACUGGCUAAGCAUGAGCACACAGACCGAGAGGACUGGGCAAGCUGAGCAGAGUCCAGUGUUCCCGGGGCCAAAGCAAACAGAACGCUGAUCUCUCUGCUGCCCCCAGAGCCAAUGCCAGUGUUUAAUGUCCCUGCUCCUCAUGGAAAGAGAAGAACAAAGUCUACCUGGUUUCUCAGCUGUCCAAAGUAACCCUUUGGCCUCUGCAGAUUUACAGGUUUACAAACAAUGUCAACUGUUGGUUUCUGCAGUUGAAUGAUCUUACCCUUUUACUUGUUCUAAGUAUUGCUCAUUUAUGUAAAUAUAUCCAGCUUGUCUAUAGGUGUCAUUGACAAGACUUACCAGCUCCACAGGGAGCAACUGCCCCCAAACAAUUAACAAACCCCCAUCCCUAUCUUUCUUCUCCCUGGGAAAGGAAGUGAGAGAUCUCAGAAUGCAAAACUGUGUGUGUGUGUGUGUGUGUGUGUGUGUGUGUGUGUGUGUUAUUAAAGUGAGAGUCCCUAGCUUUUAUUAAUCCUUAGUGGGGCCCAUUGGUACUGUAAAUAUGUUGAAAUCUCUGGCCAUCUUUCCAUGUUCUUAGAAUUGGGAGGAAGUAGAGUUGAGGUACUUGACAGCAAUCUCCCAGUGCCAGUGAAAGACCCCCGUGGACCCAAACCUUCCGCUCUAGGUAACUUAGGACUGCAGGUUUGGCCCUCCUGGUGGAGGAAACUGGUAGCCAAAACUCAAGCUCUUUAGAGCCAACCGUAACUAAGCCUCUGAGCAAUAAAGCCUGAGGAUUUUAUAGCAGGUAAAACUUUAGAGGAGAAUCUUCCAGAAGCCCCAGCAUAAAGGAUAGGCAUGUCCAUGGCUUCCUGGGGGCAUACUGCAAGGAGCCUAUGCAGGACCAGAUGUGAAAAUGUCAUUCCCACAAGGAGUGAGACCUCAGCCUCUAGCUACUCCUGGGGGAGAAGCUCCCUGAUCCACCGACCCUUCCUGCUGCCUCUCUCUGGGGACUGUAUUCUGGACGGAAGAGAGGGACUGUCCCCACAGGCUUGACUGAGUUCUUUGGGCCUGACAGUUAAUAACUGAGAGAGAAAACUGGCAGCUCAUUGAAUAGACAAGCAUCUUGAGUCUGGAGGAGCUGGGGGCACUUUCUGUGAGGCUUAUUUUGGAGCCAUCGUUUCCUUCCAUUCCACCAGGGAAACCAGUUGGAAACUCCAUCUCCUCAAAGCUAAAGAUGCCCAUUUUUUUCUGAGUUGUAAUCCAGUUUUCUGGCCUUUUUCAGGCGAA